ACUCCUACGGGAGGCAGCAGUAGGGAAUAUUGGACAAUGGGGGCAACCCUGAUCCAGCAAUGCCGCGUGAGUGAUGAAGGCCUUAGGGUUGUAAAGCUCUUUUACCCGGGAUGAUAAUGACAGUACCGGGAGAAUAAGCUCCGGCUAACUCCGUGCCAGCAGCCGCGGUAAUA
RNAcentral lists this ribosomal RNA (173 nucleotides) under uncultured bacterium. RNAcentral describes it as "partial 16S ribosomal RNA". It matches the Rfam family "Bacterial small subunit ribosomal RNA", at positions 335 to 525 of the family's 1533-position model. The record is from RNAcentral.